RNAcentral lists this ribosomal RNA (460 nucleotides) under uncultured bacterium. RNAcentral's name for it is "partial 16S ribosomal RNA". It matches the Rfam family "Bacterial small subunit ribosomal RNA", at positions 338 to 795 of the family's 1533-position model. The record is from RNAcentral.
CCUACGGGAGGCAGCAGUGAGGAAUAUUGGACAAUGGGCGCGAGCCUGAACCAGCCAAGUAGCGUGAAGGAUGACUGCCCUACGGGUUGUAAACUUCUUUUAUAAAGGAAUAAAGUGACGCACGCGUGCCUUUUUGUAUCUACUUUAUGAAUACGGAUCGGCUAACUCCGUGCCAGCAGCCGCGGUAAUACGGAGGAUCCGAGCGUUAUCCGGAUUUAUUGGGGUUAAAGGAAGCGUAGAUGGGUUGUUAAGUCAGUUGUGAAAGUUUGCGGCUCAACCGUAAAAUUGCAAUUGAUACUGGCAGCCUUGAGUACAGUUGAGGUAGGCGGAAUUCGUGGUGUAGCGGUGAAAUGCGUAGAUAUCACGAAGAACGCCGAUUGCGAAGGCAGCUUACUAAACUGCCACUGACAUUGAUGCUCGAAAGUGUGGGUAUCAAACAGGAUUAGAUACCCGAGUAGUC